RNAcentral lists this ribosomal RNA (440 nucleotides) under uncultured bacterium. Its description in RNAcentral is "partial 16S ribosomal RNA". It matches the Rfam family "Bacterial small subunit ribosomal RNA", at positions 338 to 795 of the family's 1533-position model. The record is from RNAcentral.
CCUACGGGUGGCAGCAGUGGGGAAUAUUGCACAAUGGGGGAAACCCUGAUGCAGCGACGCCGCGUGAGUGAAGAAGUAAUUCGUUAUGUAAAGCUCUAUCAGCAGGGAAGAAAAUGACGGUACCUGAGUAAGAAGCCCCGGCUAACUACGUGCCAGCAGCCGCGGUACUACGUAGGGGGCAAGCGUUAUCCGGAUUUACUGGGUGUAAAGGGAGCGUAGACGGCAGUGCAAGUCUGGAGUGAAAGGCGGGGGCUCAACCCCCGGACUGCUCUGGAAACUGUACGGCUGGAGUGCAGGAGAGGUACGUGGAAUUCGUGGUGUAGCGGUGAAAUGCGUAGAUAUUAGGAGGAACACCAGUGGCGAAGGCAGCUUACUAGACUGUAACUGACGUUGAGGCUCGAAAGCGUGGGGAGCAAACAGGAUUAGAUACCCGAGUAGUC